Drosophila pseudoobscura is the source of this 1687-nucleotide RNA transcript. It is a transcript of the gene named hyphally regulated cell wall protein 1-like, with no coding region annotated. The record is from RefSeq and is a predicted model, not a curated record. The transcript is spliced from 8 exons. NCBI's taxonomy places the organism in Eukaryota, Metazoa, Arthropoda, Insecta, Diptera, Drosophilidae.
AGCAGCCAGAAUAACAACAACAACAACACGGUCGCCAGUCGACGCCCUUGUUUUUGUUGUCGCGUGUGUCGUCGCAGUUCUGUCUGUCUGUUGUCUGUCCAUAUUCCUAAUGGGGCAAUGCAAUCUAUUCCUGUGGUCGAGCGCUGAGUUUAAUAACCAAUAUAUUAAAGUGCAUACGGAAGAGAAAAAAUAAGAGAGAGACUUUUGGUUCGCUUGCCCCCGCAAAGCGCAAGGCGCUCACCACCCCCCCGCCAAAAUACGCUUUCUCUCUUGCCCACUGCUAAACGCUGCAAUGCGUUUAUCAUUCUACGCAAGGUAUUUUCAAGUGGAAGGUGGAACCAGUCCCAGCUUUGGGAGGCCGCUCUGCCCCACUGCCAUACAGCCGCACAACGAAACAGGUAACGGUAGUGGUACCGCCAACGAGGACAGUACCGCGGAGUUCGGGCAGCCCAACGCAGCCUCCUCGCCCAACGGCAGCGGCUACCACAACAACUACAACCUAAAUGGGAGCAGUGGGCUAGCCGGAAACGGCAGUGGCAAUGGCAACGGCAACGGCAACGGCAGCUCCAACAUCAACGGCGGGGGCUACAGCGUGAACAGCCUGCCGCGGAACGGGGCCCAUCUGGGGCAUCUGCAGGCGGGUGAGGGCAUGGACGUGCUGGACGAUCCUGGGCGCAGCAAAAAACGACCCCGCAUGGGCAUUGGCUCCGCCAUCACCGACCAUUCACGACGCUCUUCAAUUUCAGAAUCCUCGGCCAUCUCAGGUUUCUCCUCGGCCAGCAAUAAGACCUACGUACACGAGGCCUCCACCUUGGUCCUGGAGACCAUCGAGAACGGCGUGAAGCGCCACUUUAUUGUGCCUUUGGCCAUUGCCCAGAGACCGCGCUGGCGCCGCAAGGGCACCAAGCUGCACAUCUACAACGAUCACACCUUCAUAGCCAAGCAUUUGAGCGGAAGCGGCUUGCAGUGCUCGAUCUGCAUGAAGUCCAUACCUCGGAGGCCGGGCAAGCAGGGAUACGAGUGCCGCGACUGCCAGCUGAUCUGUCACAAGCAGUGUCACAUACGGGCGCCCCAGGCCUGUCCCAAUCCCACGGUGCUCUCCAUGGAACUAAACUCCUAUCCGGAUGGCCAGUGAGCAGUAGGCUUAAGUGCAGCAAAAUCAACUUAAAACUUAACAAUAUUCAAACUAGUUUGACGGCGGCAGCGGCCGACAUUUAAGAAAACAAAAAAAUGCUCCUUCUUCUGAAAACUCCUCCAUCCGUCCUUCGAAACAGCCUCAGUUCUAGAUUCGUUCGGCUUUAGGAGAGAGUUCGAGAGUUAUCCACUCCUUAGGCGGAACCAAACUUAACUCGGCUGCGGCGGAUCGGAGUAUACGGAAACUGUAAAGAUGCCCCCAAUCCAUCGUCCAUCCCAGCUCCGACGCCGGGGACACUUAAUCGAAUUAUUAUGCUUAGAAGGAGGAACACCGGGACACUUCGGCUAUCGAAAUCUUUGAUACAUUAUGUUAUUUAUUUAUACACACACACAUACACCCACGUGCAAUAAGUUCUUUGGUUUCGUUUUUAACCUUUCUCUGUGUCAACAAGUAGACCCCUUUGAUAUUUUGUAUUUUCUACAAACACGAAUAAUAAUUGUACAAAAUAAGAGCGAACUAAGAAUUUUUCAAUUAAAAUUACUGGUAAAAGUA